CCUACGGGGGGCAGCAGUGAGGAAUAUUGGUCAAUGGACGAGAGUCUGAACCAGCCAAGCAGCGUGAAGGAUGACUGUCCUAUGGAUUGUAAACUUCUUUUAUAUGGGAAUAAAACCGGGGAUGCAUACCCUCUUGUAUGUACCAUAUGAAUAAGCAUCGGCUAACUUCGUGCCAGCAGCCGCGGUAAUACGGAGGAUCCGAGCGUUAUCCGGAUUUAUUGGGUUUAAAGGGAGCGUAGGUGGUUUGUUAAGUCAGUUGUGAAAGUCUGCGGCUCAACCGUAAAAUUGCAGUUGAAACUGGCAGUCUGGAGUACAGUAGAGGUGGGCGGAAUGCGUGGUGUAGCGGUGAAAUGCUUAGAUAUCACGAAGAACUCCGAUUGCGAAGGCAGCUCACUGGA
This 398-nucleotide ribosomal RNA is filed under the name uncultured bacterium. RNAcentral's name for it is "partial 16S ribosomal RNA". It matches the Rfam family "Bacterial small subunit ribosomal RNA", at positions 338 to 733 of the family's 1533-position model. The record is from RNAcentral.